Molecule: long non-coding RNA, 2295 nt
Organism: Myotis myotis
Lineage: Eukaryota; Metazoa; Chordata; Mammalia; Chiroptera; Vespertilionidae
Exons: 2
Source: RefSeq, a predicted model, not a curated record
GGGCCUGCGGGCCUGGAAAGUAGGGGAAAGGUCCCGGCGGCGGCGAGGGCGGCGUGGCGGCGCGGCUGUGGCCCGGGAAGCCCCCGGUCCUGGACCGGGUGACUCGAGAGGGGACCGCGUUUAAAGGGGCCGCCGCCCGCCGCCCCGCGAAUUGAAUCAGUGCCCCUGGAGGCUUCAGCCCGGCACUACUGCCUUGUUUUUCGUUUUUCUGCAUCGGCGAUUGGCCCUGCGGGUGCAUCACGGACCAGGAAGAGCUUUGGAAGCUGGCUGGCUCCAGUGACCGCCUGCAUCUGCUGCUUCCUGCAGCGCCCGGAGCCCGUUCCCAGGCCAGAGUCUGUGUCUGACACCCCUCGCCAGGCAGCUUUGGGCCGCAGUUUCCACUCUAAGAUAUUUUCUUGCUGAUUUCCGAGAGGAAGGGAGAGGGAGAGAGAGACGGAGACAUCAGUGAUGAGAGAGAAUCAUGGAUCAGCUGCCUCCUGCACGGCCCCUACUGGGGAUGGAGCCCGCAACCCGGGCCUGUGCCCUGCGUGGGAAUUAAACUGUGACCUCCUGGUUCAUAAGCCCAUGCUCAACCACUGAGCCACACUGGCCGGGCACAGUUUCCACUCUUAAGUGAGGUCAGGAGAAGCCAAAACAGGUCUCCUGCCCUCCAGCCUCGCCGCCUACAAUCUGCCCCUCUCUCACUGCCAGACGACCUCCCGGAAGUAGAGAGGGUAGCCAACCCACCUGCAGGCCCUCAGCUGGAAUGCAGGCAGCUCCGGGCACGGGGCUGGGCCUGCUGCCUGGGCAGGCCUCCGUGACGGCAAUGCGUCCCGCAUCCUUUCCAGCCAGUUCUCCAAGCAGAACCUUCGCCCGUGACGUUCCUUCUGCAAGGACACCCAACCCUGCUUCCAGCUCUGUGGGCCCCGUGCGACUCCACGGGACUCUUUCCCCACUCCCCACAGCGGGGCCGCUCCACAGAGCCAGGGCUUGGGAGUCAGACCGGAUCCAAAUCCCAGGCCUGCAGUGGGGCCAUGCCCAGGCUGACGGGGUCUCACGCCUACAGAGCAGGAGGCGGUGGCGGCCCCCCAGGAGGCUGCUCCCCCAGGAGGCUGGCGCCAGAGCUCUCCCUCCGGUUUGUUUCUGCUCCCUGGACAGCGGCAAUACCUGGCAACUCGGGCUCUCCAGGCGUAAGGCCCUCUUCUCACGUCCAGCCCAUGUUCCGGACAGACAGACACACAGGUCUUCACUCAUGCUGGUCGGUCGUCCGUUCUCCCCCACAUCUACCCAGGUACCACCUUUCCAUGAAGCCUUUCUGCACGCACACACACCAGGCUGUGUGGUUGCUGCUGAGCCCUGGCUUCUGGGCCUGCCUGUCAUCAGGGGGUUAUUGACGUGUUUUAAACUAAGACAGUCAGUCAGAGAUCUCACCGGGCCCUCGCCAGCACCGGGCGCCACAGACUUGUGGUCAGAGCCAGCACGGGCAGGCAGAGUGGACACGGGUAACUGCUGUAUGCAGUAGAUGCCACCCUCUCUCGCGUGUCCUUCCGGGGGGGGGGGGGGGCGAGUGUGUGUGUGUGUGUGUGUGUGUGCGCACGCACGCACAAUCAUACUGUGACACAGGGUAGCCGUCUGUGCACCUUCUGAGCCUCGCUCCCUGACUUAUAUGUAACAGCGUGGCGCCAUUACCCAUCAGAGCACAGAAGUCAGCCUGGUGCUCUCUAACGGUUACAUGAUGUUUCAUUAGGUGGAUGCAUGCGUGGGUUCACCUCGCCCGUUUACCUGGCCGGGGCUUAGGUUGUUUCCAGCUUGCCAGGCCAAAGUGUCGACGCAUCAUUUGUCCACAUGUGAGAGUAACUACAGCGUCACUGCCUAUUGGGAUUGCUGGGUCACCUGCACUUGUAUUUCUUUUAUUUUUUGGUUUUUGGUAAGUUUUAAUUGAAGUUCAGGAUAGCUACAGGAAAGUGCACACUCAGUGAAUGUUCACAGGCAAACCCCUUGCUGCCAGCCCCCAGAUGGAGAAACAGUAUCUGCAGAGUCCGAGCCCCUCCACGACCCCUUCCAGGAUAGCCUCCUCACGGCUCCUCAGGCCGUAGACUCCGCUGGCACGUGCGACACGUGUGCAAAGAGCAAGCAGCACAUGGCGCCCUCUCUGUUGGGGCUGGCAUAGAGUUGCGUUUGGUUGGGAUUUAUUUGUUCUUGUUGCUGAAGGACACACAUAGAACACACAGUGGACCGGCCCGUUCUUCUCUUGAUGGCCAUCAGGAUUGUUUCCAACCUGGGGCUGUUAUGAAUAAAGCGCUGUGAGAACUCUGA